UAAUGAUAACUUGUUGUUUAUGAUGUCC
This 28-nucleotide small RNA is filed under the name Bombyx mori (domestic silkworm). RNAcentral describes it as "ovarian small RNA-19736". The record is from RNAcentral. Lineage: Eukaryota; Metazoa; Arthropoda; Insecta; Lepidoptera; Bombycidae.